Molecule: long non-coding RNA, 1258 nt
Organism: Nicotiana tabacum (common tobacco)
Lineage: Eukaryota; Viridiplantae; Streptophyta; Magnoliopsida; Solanales; Solanaceae
Source: RefSeq, a predicted model, not a curated record
AAAGGAAACAAUUUCAUCAAAAAUUUUCCUUCAUUAGUUCUUUCAGUGAAAAUUUUCCCUAUUUUGAAAGGGCAUAAGAAAGAACCGUGGAAAUCUCCACCCUUUCUAUAGACCCGUCAAAAUCUCCAUCUCCACCACUAAGUCGCUCGGUUCUACAGGUACCAAAUCCAGCACCCCUGAAAUUUUCUUCUCCAUUGAUCCAACACCUGCAUCUAAGAAAGAGAAAUUUUCAGCAUUCAAAAGGAGCAAAGAAAAAGGGUUUGAAUCCAAAUAAAGCUCAAAGUCCUAUGAAGAAGAUAAGCUUUGAUUUUCAGUUUCGAUCAAGUGCUGAAUUGGCCAAGUAAUUUCAGAUUAAGAAAGAAAAACCAGCUCAUGAUAAGGAGUAUAGAGUUGUGAAAGAGCAAGCACCACUAGCUCAUAAAUGGAAGCAUCUUAUGCCCACAAUAUCAAAUGCAAGAGAAGGACAGAGUAGAUAAAGGUUAACUCAAUCUAAGGAGUCCUUUCAACAACAAGGAAAUGCGUACAAGUAAAGAGAACAACGAGGAACCAUCAAAGUCUGAAAUACUUAUUGCAACUCAUACAAAGCAAGGGAAGCAAGUUCAUGAAGAUGCUCAAAUUGCAAUAUCUGAACUUCAGAACCGUUAAAACUCUAGGGAUACAUCGGAGAAGCAUUUAGUGCAGUGUUUGGAAGGGAGCAGCCUCGUCGAAUAUAGUGGUAUGGUAGAUCAGUGACAACAAGUUCUUUGAAAAAAUAUGAGGAAAUCAGCAAGCUCCAACAAAAGCAUAACAAUGAAGUCUCUACUUUGAAAGAAGAAAAGCAGGAAAUGAGAGAAGAAAUGCAAGAAUUGAGGCAAUUACGUCAUUGCUUCAAUCUAUUGGUGCAAAAUAAUCCUGGACUAAAUGUUCAAGAUAUACUAGCAUUUGUUGGAUCUAACCAACUUUCUCCGGUUGAUGCAAGUAGCACACUCUUCUGGAUCAACCCAUGGUCCAAUUCAUGAAAAUGUAUUUAGACUCCACAUUUCCACCAAACUUAAAUGCUUUCUGCUUUGUAUUCAGUUUAUUGUCGAAAUUUUUAGUCUUGAAUUAGGUGAUGUAGAUCUUAGAGUCAUUUUAGCCACUAUAGAAAGAUUAGCCACUAAAUGUGGCGAGUUUCAACUUAUUGUUGUCUUUGCUCUAUUGUCCUUCGAGACGUCUGUUAACGGCCAGUUUGCAAGACGACCUGCAGAUGAGAGUGGACUUUUGGUUGCCUGGUUCUUUC